AACGAACGCUGGCGGCAUGCCUAACACAUGCGAGUCGAACGAGACCUUCGGGUCUAGUGGCGCACGGGUGCGUAACGCGUGGGAACCUGCCCUUAGGUUCGGAAUAACUCCCCGAAAGGGGUGCUAAUACCGGAUAAUGUCUUCGGACCAAAGAUUUAUCGCCUUUGGAUGGGCCCGCGUUGGAUUAGCUAGUUGGUAGGGUAAAAGCCUACCAAGGCGACGAUCCAUAGCUGGUCUGAGAGGAUGAUCAGCCACACUGGGACUGAGACACGGCCCAGACUCCUACGGGAGGCAGCAGUGGGGAAUAUUGGACAAUGGGCGAAAGCCUGAUCCAGCAAUGCCGCGUGAGUGAUGAAGGCCUUAGGGUUGUAAAGCUCUUUUACCCGGGAUGAUAAUGACAGUACCGGGAGAAUAAGCUCCGGCUAACUCCGUGC
Molecule: ribosomal RNA, 434 nt
Filed under: uncultured bacterium
Lineage: Bacteria
Description: partial 16S ribosomal RNA
Rfam family: Bacterial small subunit ribosomal RNA
Source: RNAcentral